This 253-nucleotide ribosomal RNA is filed under the name uncultured bacterium. RNAcentral describes it as "partial 16S ribosomal RNA". It matches the Rfam family "Bacterial small subunit ribosomal RNA", at positions 524 to 776 of the family's 1533-position model. The record is from RNAcentral.
UACGGAGGGGGCUAGCGUUGUUCGGAAUUACUGGGCGUAAAGCGCACGUAGGCGGCUAUUCAAGUCGGGGGUGAAAGCCCGGGGCUCAACCCCGGAACUGCCCUCGAAACUAUGUAGCUAGAAUCUUGGAGAGGCGAGUGGAAUUCCGAGUGUAGAGGUGAAAUUCGUAGAUAUUCGGAAGAACACCAGUGGCGAAGGCGACUCGCUGGACAAGUAUUGACGCUGAGGUGCGAAAGCGUGGGGAGCAAACAGG